Molecule: unclassified non-coding RNA, 261 nt
Filed under: uncultured Venturiales
Lineage: Eukaryota; Fungi; Ascomycota; Dothideomycetes
Description: sequence contains 5.8S rRNA gene, ITS2, 28S rRNA gene
Source: RNAcentral
AACGCACAUUGCGCCCUCUGGUAUUCCGGAGGGCACGCCUGUCCGAGCGCCAUUACACCCCCCAAGCUUUGCUUGAUGUUGGGCCAUGUUGGCAAGACAAGCCCCAAACUUAUAGGCGCCUCCUGUUGGCCGCUAGCGUAGCAAAAUGUUUUCGCUUAGUGACACCAUCAGUGGGUUGCCUCUUUAAUUCUUUCUUUUCUCACGAAAAGAAAAACUCAAAAGUUUGGCCUCGGAUCAGGCGGGGAUACCCGCUGAACUUAA